This 385-nucleotide long non-coding RNA is filed under the name Homo sapiens (human). Its description in RNAcentral is "HSALNT0331487". Lineage: Eukaryota; Metazoa; Chordata; Mammalia; Primates; Hominidae. The record is from RNAcentral.
AAAAAAAAAAAAGAUAAGCAAACAUGAAUCACCAUCGGUCAUUUUCUACCUUGCAAAUUCAGUUCCUAGCUCAGUAAAUAGGUGUUGAAAGAAUAAAAGGAUUGGCUGGGUGCGGUGGCUUACGCCCGUAAUCCCAGCACUUUGGGAGGCCGAGGCGGGCGGAUCACGAGGUCAGGAGAUCGAGACCAUCCCGGCCAACAUGGUGAAACCCCGUCUCUACUAAAAAUACAAAAAAUUAGCCGGGCGUGGUGGCGGGCGCCUGUAGUCCCAGCUACUCGGGAGGCUGAGGCAGGAGAAUGGCGUGAACCCGGGAGGCGGAGCUUGCAGUGAGCUGAGAUCGCACCACUGCACUCCAGCCUGGGAGACAGAGCAAGACUCCGUCUCA